GCAAGCAGCCAUAUCACUCUGUAACUCACAACCGACAACCCACUGAAGCUAAGCAGGUGUGUGCCUGGUCAGUACCUGGAUGGAAGACCUCAUGGGAAAAACUAAGGCUGCUGGUG
This 116-nucleotide ribosomal RNA is filed under the name Lepisosteus oculatus (spotted gar). Lineage: Eukaryota; Metazoa; Chordata; Actinopteri; Semionotiformes; Lepisosteidae. The record is from RNAcentral.